Non-coding RNA from Parasteatoda tepidariorum (common house spider), 204 nucleotides. The record is from RefSeq and is a predicted model, not a curated record. NCBI's taxonomy places the organism in Eukaryota, Metazoa, Arthropoda, Arachnida, Araneae, Theridiidae.
CUCAUCAUCACUCAUGAGUUUUUUAAAUCGUAUAUUCCGAGUUAAACAUGCGCGAAAUAGUGUUCGAAGAUUUUCGCGAGAAAAUGUGAGACCAAACUUGGCGAAUUUCAAAAUACGGUAACAGUCUAUAGUUACAGGUUUUGUAAUUUGUGGCCAAUAUAUAGUUAAGUAAUCAAAGAAUUGGCACAAUAUAGUAUGAAGUUU